AAAAUUUUAAGUUAUAAAAACUUUAAACCUUCAAAGUUUAAUUAAUAUAUUUAAAAUAUAUAAAUUUUA
Molecule: transfer RNA, 69 nt
Filed under: Ooencyrtus plautus
Lineage: Eukaryota; Metazoa; Arthropoda; Insecta; Hymenoptera; Encyrtidae
Description: tRNA-Trp
Source: RNAcentral